RNAcentral lists this ribosomal RNA (472 nucleotides) under uncultured bacterium. Its description in RNAcentral is "bacterial SSU rRNA". It matches the Rfam family "Bacterial small subunit ribosomal RNA", at positions 329 to 793 of the family's 1533-position model. The record is from RNAcentral.
CUACGCACUCCUACGGGAGGCAGCAGUGGGGAAUAUUGCACAAUGGGCGCAAGCCUGAUGCAGCCAUGCCGCGUGUAUGAAGAAGGCCUUCGGGUUGUAAAGUACUUUCAGCAGUGAGGAAGGUGGAUAUGUUAAUAGCAUAUUCAUUUGACGUUAGCUGCAGAAGAAGCACCGGCUAACUCCGUGCCAGCAGCCGCGGUAAUACGGAGGGUGCGAGCGUUAAUCGGAAUUACUGGGCGUAAAGCGCAUGCAGGUGGUUUGUUAAGUCAGAUGUGAAAGCCCGGGGCUCAACCUCGGAAUUGCAUUUGAAACUGGCAAACUAGAGUACUGUAGAGGGGGUAGAAUUUCAGGUGUAGCGGUGAAAAUGCGUAGAGAUCUGAAGGAAUACCGGUGGCGAAGGCGGCCCCCUGGACAGAUACUGACACUCAGAUGCGAAAGCGUGGGGAGCAAACAGGAUUAGAUACCCUGGUAG